GACGAACGCUGGCGGCGUGCCUAAUACAUGCAAGUCGAGCGGACGGAUGGGAGCUUGCUCCCAGACCGUCAGCGGCGGACGGGUGAGUAACACGUGGGCAACCUGCCUGUAAGACUGGGAUAACUCCGGGAAACCGGGGCUAAUACCGGAUAACUCUUUCCCUCACAUGAGGGAAAGCUGAAAGAUGGCAUCUCGCUAUCACUUACAGAUGGGCCCGCGGCGCAUUAGCUAGUUGGUGAGGUAACGGCUCACCAAGGCGACGAUGCGUAGCCGACCUGGGAGGGGGAUCGGCCACACUGGGACUGAGACACGGCCCAGACUCCUACGGGAGGCAGCAGUAGGGAAUCUUCCGCAAUGGACGAAAGUCUGACGGAGCAACGCCGCGUGAGUGAUGAAGGUGUUCGGAUCGUAAAACUCUGUUGUCAGGGAAGAACAAGUACCGGAGUAACUGCCGGUACCUUGACGGUACCUGACCAGAAAGCCACGGCUAACUACGUG
RNAcentral lists this ribosomal RNA (498 nucleotides) under uncultured bacterium. RNAcentral describes it as "partial 16S ribosomal RNA". It matches the Rfam family "Bacterial small subunit ribosomal RNA", at positions 28 to 507 of the family's 1533-position model. The record is from RNAcentral.